RNAcentral lists this ribosomal RNA (253 nucleotides) under uncultured bacterium. RNAcentral describes it as "partial 16S ribosomal RNA". It matches the Rfam family "Bacterial small subunit ribosomal RNA", at positions 524 to 776 of the family's 1533-position model. The record is from RNAcentral.
GACGUAGGAUGCAAGCGUUGUCCGGAAUUAUUGGGCGUAAAGAGUUCGUAGGCGGUUGCCUAAGUCUGAUGUUAAAUACUGGAGCUCAACUCCGGCAUGGCAUUGGAAACUGGGCGGCUAGAGUGUGGUAGAGGUCUCGGGAAUUCCAGGUGUAGCGGUGAAAUGCGUAGAUAUCUGGAGGAACACCGGUGGCGAAAGCGCGAGACUGGGCCAUAACUGACGCUGAGGAACGAAAGCCAGGGGAGCGAACGGG